UGGCGUAAGCCUGCAUGGAGCUGCCAUUGGCACAGAUCUUGGUGGUAGUAGCAAAUAAUCGAAUGAGACCUUGGAGGACUGAAGUGGAGAAGGGUUUCGUGUGAACAGUGGUUGAUCACGAGUUAGUCGGUCCUAAGUUCAAGGCGAAAGCCGAAAAUUUUCAAGUAAAAAAUCAAUAAGCAUAUAUUGUCAAUUCUUUAAUGAUUUUUUUGAAACACUUGAAUAAUUUUGAACGAAAGGGAAUACGGUUCCAAUUCCGUAACCUGUUGAGUAUCCGUUUGUUAUUAAAUAUGGGCCUCGUGCUCAUCCUGGCAACAGGAACGACCAUAAAGAAGCCGUCGAGAGAUAUCGGAAGAGUUUUCUUUUCUGUUUUAUAGCAAUACUACCAUGGAAGUCUUUCGCAGAGAGAUAUGGUAGAUGGGCUAGAAGAGCAUGACAUAUACUGUUGUGUCGAUAUUUUCUCCUCGGACCUUGAAAAUUUAUGGUGGGGACACGCAAACUUCUCAA
This 507-nucleotide ribosomal RNA is filed under the name Drosophila guanche. RNAcentral describes it as "eukaryotic LSU rRNA". It matches the Rfam family "Eukaryotic large subunit ribosomal RNA", at positions 1413 to 1837 of the family's 3401-position model. Lineage: Eukaryota; Metazoa; Arthropoda; Insecta; Diptera; Drosophilidae. The record is from RNAcentral.